Molecule: unclassified non-coding RNA, 240 nt
Filed under: soil metagenome
Description: partial contains 5.8S ribosomal RNA, internal transcribed spacer 2, and large subunit ribosomal RNA
Source: RNAcentral
AACGCACGAGACCUGCGGACCUGCGGAGGGAUCAUUAAUGAGAAGCUGCCCCUCGUGGGUAGACCUCCCACCCCCUGUGAACUUACCUUUGUUGCUUUGGCAGGCCCGUCCUCUGGACCGCCGGCUUCGGCUGGCCCGUGCCUGCCAGAGGAUUCCAAACCCUGUCUGUCAGUGUUGUCUGAGUCUAUAUGAAAUCGUUAAAACUUUCAACAAUGGAUCUCUAGAUCGGAAGAGCACACG